This 912-nucleotide unclassified non-coding RNA is filed under the name Hevea brasiliensis (rubber tree). Lineage: Eukaryota; Viridiplantae; Streptophyta; Magnoliopsida; Malpighiales; Euphorbiaceae. The record is from RNAcentral.
AGCCACCCCCUUUAUAUCACUGGCACUUUGAUAAUUAGUGGUUUCAUCUUCAUCGCUACUCUGAACCUCAUCAUCCUCGAGCUCAUCUUCUUGAAUUCGUGUACUACCUUCUAAAUGCUCUGCUAACUCAUUCACACCAUCAUCAGCAGAUAAAUCAGUUGUUCUAUCAGCAUCAGCUACAUUUAGUUCCUCACUUUCCCCAUCCUCCACCACCUCACUGUAUUCAUCAUCUUCCUCAUCAAAAGCUUCUCUCAAAGCUGCCACCUUCUCCUUAUGCUUCUUGGACUGCUCAUGAUUUUUCCACUGUUUCUCGCUCUUGAACUUCUUCGAACACACAACACAGUAUAAUUCAUUCUCAUCUGCCUUCUUUCUCUCGUGCUCAUCCGAUUCCUCCUCAAUUCCAUCAUCUGCUAACUCCUCUGCUUUCGUCCACUCAGGCUCUACGUAAUUUCUUGCUCUCUCAGCCUUCUCUCUCUCCAGCUCCUUCUUUCUCUUGCGUUCCUCUUCCUUUUUCUUCUCCAUUUCCUCGUUCCUCUUCAUCUGCAUGUCAAUCACUCUCUUAUCUCUCUUUUUCACAAACUCUGCUAAUCCUCUAACAGUCUCAUUGUAUUCCCUUCGCGCCUUUUUCCUCAGCUUCUUGUUCUCAUCCUCCAUCACCCUCCUCGACUUUCUAUUAGGUCCCGCCAUCACAUCAUACUGAUCUGCCCAACAAAAGUCCAUCACAGUAACGAAUCCUAACCAAUAGCUAUAAAAUGCAGUCACCUGAGCAUAAGGACUCUCCAAAUUUCCCAUUAGAGGAGCUUCUUUUGGCAAAUCUGUACCUAACUUCCUCGCGAAAUUUAAAUCGUGUUGGUAGAUUUUCUCGAAAAGAUCACCAUACACCUUGUAAAAUCCCUUCCCUUUAUCUGAAUA